UACAGAGGUCCCAAGCGUUGUCCGGAUUUAUUGGGCGUAAAGCGCUCGCAGGUGGUUCAUUGCGUCGUGCGUGAAAGACCCCGGCUCAACUGGGGAGGGUCGUGCGAAACGGGUGAACUAGAGGCCAGUAGGGGGAUGCGGAAUUCCGGGUGUAGUGGUGGAAUGCGUAGAGAUCCGGAGGAACACCAGCGGCGAAGGCGGCAUCCUGGACUGGUCCUGACACUCAGGAGCGAAAGCGUGGGAGCGAUCCGG
This 252-nucleotide ribosomal RNA is filed under the name uncultured bacterium. RNAcentral's name for it is "partial 16S ribosomal RNA". It matches the Rfam family "Bacterial small subunit ribosomal RNA", at positions 524 to 776 of the family's 1533-position model. The record is from RNAcentral.